UCCUCCUUAGCUCAGUUGGUAGAGCGCGUCACUCGUAUGAAGUUCAGAUGACGAGGUCAGUCGUUCAAGUCGGCUAGGGGGAA
Molecule: non-coding RNA, 83 nt
Organism: Lentinula aff. detonsa
Lineage: Eukaryota; Fungi; Basidiomycota; Agaricomycetes; Agaricales; Omphalotaceae
Source: the annotation of a GenBank genome assembly